AUGGCUCAGGAUGAACGCUGGCGGCAUGCCUAAUACAUGCAAGUCGAACGGAAUCUUAUAUGUUCCUCGUUUCGGAUUUAGUUCCGAGUUGGGGAACAAUAAGAUUUAGUGGCGGACGGGUGAGUAACACGUUGGUACCUACCCUCUAAGUGGGGAAUAACUUCGAGAAAUCGAGGCUAAUACCGCAUAAUAUCUACGGAUUAAAGCAUUUAUGCGCUAGAGGAGGGGCCUGCGUCUGAUUAGCUUGUUGGUGAGGUAAAAAGCUCACCAAGGCGACGAUCAGUAGCUGGAUCGAGAGGUUGACCAGCCACACUGGGACUGAGAUACGGCCCAGACUCCUACGGGAGGCAGCAGUAAGGAAUCUUCCACAAUGGGCGAAAGCCUGAUGGAGCAAUGCCGCGUGCAGGAUGACGGCCUUCGGGUUGUAAACUGCUUUUAUAUGGGAAGAUUAUGACGGUACCAUAUGAAUAAGGACCGGCUAACUACGUG
Molecule: ribosomal RNA, 489 nt
Filed under: uncultured bacterium
Lineage: Bacteria
Description: bacterial SSU rRNA
Rfam family: Bacterial small subunit ribosomal RNA
Source: RNAcentral